RNAcentral lists this ribosomal RNA (253 nucleotides) under uncultured bacterium. RNAcentral's name for it is "partial 16S ribosomal RNA". It matches the Rfam family "Bacterial small subunit ribosomal RNA", at positions 524 to 776 of the family's 1533-position model. The record is from RNAcentral.
UACGGAGGGUGCAAGCGUUAUCCGGAUUCACUGGGCGUAAAGCGCGCGUAGGCGGCCACUUAAGUCGGAUGUGAAAGCCCCUGGCUCAACUGGGGAAGUGCACCCGAAACUGAAUGGCUUGAAUGCAAAAGAGGGUCGCGGAAUUCCCGGUGUAGAGGUGAAAUUCGUAGAUAUCGGGAGGAACACCGGUGGCGAAGGCGGCGACCUGGGUUGACAUUGACGCUGAGGCGCGAAAGCGUGGGGAGCAAACAGG